This 247-nucleotide ribosomal RNA is filed under the name Polyporales sp. 3 CRJH-2017. RNAcentral describes it as "partial 28S ribosomal RNA". It matches the Rfam family "Eukaryotic large subunit ribosomal RNA", at positions 104 to 344 of the family's 3401-position model. Lineage: Eukaryota; Fungi; Basidiomycota; Agaricomycetes; Polyporales. The record is from RNAcentral.
AAAGCUCAAAUUUAAAAUCUGGCAGUCUUUGGCUGUCCGAGUUGUAGUCUGGAGAAGCGUUUUCCGCGCUGGACCGUGUAUAAGUUGCUUGGAAUAGUGCAUCAUAGAGGGUGAGAAUCCCGUCUUUGACACGGACUACCAGUGCUUUGUGAUGCGCUCUCAAAGAGUCGAGUUGUUUGGGAAUGCAGCUCAAAAUGGGUGGUAAAUUCCAUCUAAAGCUAAAUAUUGGCGAGAGACCGAUAGCGAA